AGAUGCAAGGAAAUAAUUACUUUGGCUUAAGCAUAGAAUUUGGAGAACUUUGUAAUUUCUCUUACACCCUGAUGCCCACUUCUGGUAAAGAGGUUUACUGAUUUACCCCAACUCAAUUGAAAACAAGACAGAUAGAUAGAUAAAUGGAUAGACCUAGAUACAAUGAAGAGCAGAUGCUGGCGAAGAGUGCACAGGUGACUCACACCUGUACGGUCAUCAUAUUCGAAGUUACUGGCCACCAUGACUGAUUCAGAGAUGGGCUCAUGACCCAAGAGACAGAAGAGAAGAAGACACAGACACAGAGAGGAAGGCCAUGUGAAGAUGGAGGCAGAGGUUGGAGAGAUUUAGCCAUAAGCCGAUGGAGUCCUGGAGCCGCCAGAAGCUGAAUGAGGCAAGGAAGGAUUGUCUCCUAGGCCUUGGGGAAGUCUAUGGA
Lagenorhynchus albirostris (white-beaked dolphin) is the source of this 433-nucleotide long non-coding RNA. RefSeq lists it as uncharacterized. NCBI's taxonomy places the organism in Eukaryota, Metazoa, Chordata, Mammalia, Artiodactyla, Delphinidae. The transcript is spliced from 4 exons. The record is from RefSeq and is a predicted model, not a curated record.